This 468-nucleotide ribosomal RNA is filed under the name uncultured bacterium. RNAcentral's name for it is "partial 16S ribosomal RNA". It matches the Rfam family "Bacterial small subunit ribosomal RNA", at positions 28 to 507 of the family's 1533-position model. The record is from RNAcentral.
GACGAACGCUGGCGGCGUGCUUAACACAUGCAAGUCGUACGGAAAGGCCCUGCUUUUGUGGGGUGCUCGAGUGGCGAACGGGUGAGUAACACGUGAGUAACCUGCCCUUGACUUUGGGAUAACUUCAGGAAACUGGGGCUAAUACCGGAUAGGAGCUCCUGCUGCAUGGGGGGGGUUGGAAAGUUUCGGCGGUUGGGGAUGGACUCGCGGCUUAUCAGCUUGUUGGUGGGGUAGUGGCUUACCAAGGCUUUGACGGGUAGCCGGCCUGAGAGGGUGACCGGCCACAUUGGGACUGAGGUACGGCCCAGACGCCUACGGGAGGCAGCAGUGGGGAAUAUUGCACAAUGGGCGGAAGCCUGAUGCAGCAACGCCGCGUGCGGGAUGACGGCCUUCGGGUUGUAAACCGCUUUCGCCUGUGACGAAGCGUGAGUGACGGUAAUGGGUAAAGAAGCACCGGCUAACUACGUG